GGCGCUGGGCCGCUGGGGCAGGAGGGCGCGGGCGGAGGGUCAGGCUUCCCUGGCCCCCGCAGCCUCCGGGCCUCGCUCAGCGACUGGGUGUCGUGGUGACCCCCCGCGAGCGAAGUCGGGCCUGCGGGGCCGUGACCUGUGCCCGCGGGGUGCCAGCCCUCGUCCUGCCGGCCGCCGCGGCGGUGACCGCUCGGGUCCGCGGCCGUGCCCGGCUGCCUUCCUGCUGACGCCUCACCUUGUGUCCCCCGGCUCCCCCCCGCCCUCUGUCCCCCGCUGCCUCCCGGCCACCCCCCCCGUGUCCCCCGGCCCCCCCGCUGUCUGCCCCCCCGCUGUCCCCCCAUUGUCCCCCGGCCCCCUCCCCCUCCCCUCGCUGUCCCGGCUCGCCUCCCCGCCGUCCCCGUUGUACCGCCGGCCAUCCCCCCCAUCCCCCCCAUUGCCCGCGGAGCGUGGACGUGCGCUGAGCCAACAGGGAAGGAAGCUGGAGGAAGCAGCGGCUUCGGGCUGAGAACACGCACCAGCCCCCCCCCCCCCGCAGGAUGGGCGGUGUCCAGGCGACCCCUGGAACCUAGUGGGACCGUCAGGAAUCGGAAGAGCAAACUACACACGGGCAGGGGCGGGAAGCACCGACUGCAGCCGAAGUGGAGCGCGCCGGAGGCGGCGGAGAGACCCUGCAAAACCGGCAGCCAGUUGGUGGAAAGGCGGACAAAUGGCCAGACUUUGAGGGGAUUGACCAGGGGAAAGGGAGGGAAACUUUGGUGAUGUCAGGAAUGACUUAGAGAGAUAAAGAUGAUGAUGACGGAAUAAGGUGGACAACUGCGUACCAACAGAUGAGGUGACUUAAGUGAAAUGGAUAAAUUCCUGGAAAAACAAAAAUACAGAAAUUGAGGAAGAAACAAAACACGAGUAGGCCUCUAACAGGCAAAUAGAAGGAGCCUCACUUUCUCCAAAUAUUACUCCGAGGGGCCUUCCAGAGCACAAGUUCUUUGUCCCUGGUCCCCACCGAUGACCCUCCGGUGGUCUCUGGAAGCUUCCUUCCAGCCCUGAGUCCUCCCGCACGGCCAGGUGUUGAGGGAGGCCGUGGAGGGAGUGUGUGGCUGUUUUCCUCCGCUUGCCUGGGCAGCAGGUGUGCUGCCCUAAGACAAGUGCCGUUUUUCUGGAAUUCACACCGGGUAGCCGCGUGCCAAGAGUAUUUCCUAUUCACAGGAUUUUGAUCCUGACCUUAGAGCAACACAUUUUCCAUAUCAUGGUGAGGAGGGGCUGCUGGCUCUUCCCAACCCUAGUCUGCAGGAGAAGAGCCCCUUGCAAGCUCCACUUUAGCUCCCUGGUGGCAGUGCCACCUUCAUGGUUUUCUGAUUCCCGAAUCCUCUUCUGAUGAGAGGAGGUGACCCUUGAGCCCCUCACCAUCCUCAGGCCACUCCAGCUGUCAUGGGAACCUGCUUUUUCAGGCUCUGGCUGGUGCACCCUCUCCCAGUCUCACCCCAAACAGCCCCAGAAGUCUCAGGAGGUUCCAAAGAGUCUUCUGCACUCCUGCAGCUUGUGUCCCAGGGGGACCUCAGGAUUCACUCUUCCCCCUCGCUCCCUCCCAUGUGGUCUGCAGGCCUGGUGCCCUCCGUGGACUUCUCAGAGGCACCACGUGCAGCCCGUAUGGGCUGUCCUGGGAGCUCCUAGCGCCACAUGUGGACGUCUGCAGCCCCAACAGCCCAGUCUACCUUCUGUAGGCAUGUGGGGGAGGGGCUGGUGGCCUCCAGUCCACCAAGAACUGAAGCGGGUGCAGGGCAGUGGGGAGUGUGGCUCAGUCUGUGUCUGCUUUCAAGCCUGUUGAAGGAAGACUUCCCAUGUAGGCCCUUGUUGCUCCAGGAAGCUUGUCUCCCAGGCCUGGCCUCGCCCCUAGGAUGUGCGGGCCUCCUGGGGGGCGUGAGGCAGGCGUCCCAAGAGAGCCAGCCUGCAUUCUGGCUUCUCUGUUUCCAUCCUCCCCCCCCCCCCCCCCCCCCCCCACCGAGUGUCUUCACCGGGGUUUCUCCACCCUUGCCCUAAGCUCAGGCUUCCCGAUUCAUUAGCUGCCUCAGGGACCCGAGGGGCCACAGAGGGCGGUUUGCUGAGGACCAGCUCCACCCCCUGGGAUUUUCUGUUUUUCAGCCCCCUAUUGUCCAGAGCGGUCUGGUGUUUGCAGUUGUCCACGUCCCCCAAGCUCUUGGGGCAGGAGCAGGGGCUGCUCUCUACCUGCCUCACCCUUCCUGGGGAGGACCGGGAACAGGAUCGUGGCAGAAGGGGAACGGGCAUCCCCCACAAGGACCCUGGAUGGGGGCUCUGGGGGAUCCCGUGAUGGAGUCCUGUAUGGCAAGAAGGGAGCAGGGCUAGGAUGCUUAAGAACCCUGACUUUGUUGGUUUUGGAGUGGCCCGAGCUUACUUGCUGGGUGGGAGAGCCACCCUUGCAGGCAGUGGGUAGUUACCACGCACCUUUGGGCAAAUGUCUCAGCUUCUCUGGCCUGUGCUCCGGUCUUUGCUCAGGCAGUGCUGGCAGCUGAGGGGUGGGGGUGGGGGUGGGGGUGGGGGUGGGGGGCCUGCAGAGAGAGCCCCAGCCCCAGGGCGUCCCUAUGGAUGGCAGUGGUUGUUGAAGUGUCUGAGCUACAACCAGCAGUGUGUCACUUGCUGGGCAGGUUAGUGAGAUGAGGAGUCACAGCCGCCCCCAGAAGGGAGGCGGAGAGGUGCGUGCAGAUCCGGUGGGUUCCCUGGGAGCAUGUCCCCCAGGAGUGUCCCCCCUCCCCCGCCGAGAGCGUGCCAGAUGGGAGCUGCCAGGGUGCAGGGGCGAGCCGCCAGUAGGUGGGGGGGCAGGGCUGGCAUGUGGGCUCUAGGGACAGCAGGGUGGCCUAGCGGGCGCCGAGGAAGGGGGUGCAGGCAGAGAAGGGGGCGCCGGCAGGGCAGCCAGUGGUGGCACAGGCCGAGGAGAGUUCACAAGAAACCAGGCCAGGUGUGGCCAUGGGGGGAGUGGGAUGGGGCCUGAGCAGGGUUUGCAGAGGGAGUUGGGGUUAAUGGGCAGCGUGGGGGGGGGGGCGGGGGGGCAAGCACAGGUGAGCCUCACGGAUUCGUUUGUACCCAGGGGUAACCUUUAACAGCCUUUAGUGGGAUCUCUCUUUCUC
This 3137-nucleotide long non-coding RNA is filed under the name Canis lupus familiaris (dog). Its description in RNAcentral is "lncRNA (ENSCAFG00000055067.1)". The record is from RNAcentral. Lineage: Eukaryota; Metazoa; Chordata; Mammalia; Carnivora; Canidae.